Molecule: ribosomal RNA, 468 nt
Filed under: uncultured bacterium
Lineage: Bacteria
Description: partial 16S ribosomal RNA
Rfam family: Bacterial small subunit ribosomal RNA
Source: RNAcentral
GACGAACGCUGGCGGCGUGCUUAACACAUGCAAGUCGAACGGAAAGGCCCUGCUUUUGUGGGGUGCUCGAGUGGCGAACGGGUGAGUAACACGUGAGUAACCUGCCCUUGACUUUGGGAUAACUUCAGGAAACUGGGGCUAAUCCCGGAUCGCAGCUCCUGCUGCAUGGUGGGGGUUGGAACGUUUCGGCGGUUGGGGAUGGACUCGCGGCUUAGCAGCUUGUUGGUGGGGUAGUGGCUUACCCAGGCUUUGACGGGUAGCCGGCCUGAGAGGGUGACCGGCGACAUUGGGACUGAGAUACGGCCCAGACUCCAACGGGAGGCAGCAGUGGGGAAUAUUGCACAAUGAGCGGAAGCCUGAUGCAGCAACGCCGCGUGCGGGAUGACGGCCUUCGGGUUGUAAACCGCUUUCGCCUGUGACGAAGCGUGAGUGACGGUAAUGGAUAAAGAAGCACCGGCUAACUACGUG